CAGCGCCACGGGAAUACGGAGGGUGCAAGCGUUAAUCGGAAUUACUGGGCGUAAAGCGCACGCAGGCGGUCUGACAAGUCAGAUGUGAAAUCCCCGGGCUUAACCUGGGAACUGCAUUUGAAACUGUCAGGCUGGAGUCUUGUAGAGGGGGGUGGAAUUCCAGGUGUAGCGGUGAAAUGCGUAGAGAUCUGGAGGAAUACCGGUGGCGAAGGCGGCCCCCUGGACAAAGACUGACGCUCAGGUGCGAAAGCGUGGGGAGCAAACAGGAUUAGAUACCCCUGUAGUCCCUGUCUCUUAUACA
This 301-nucleotide ribosomal RNA is filed under the name uncultured bacterium. RNAcentral describes it as "partial 16S ribosomal RNA". It matches the Rfam family "Bacterial small subunit ribosomal RNA", at positions 509 to 808 of the family's 1533-position model. The record is from RNAcentral.